This is a long non-coding RNA of Pseudopipra pipra, 660 nucleotides long. RefSeq lists it as uncharacterized. The record is from RefSeq and is a predicted model, not a curated record. Lineage: Eukaryota; Metazoa; Chordata; Aves; Passeriformes; Pipridae. The transcript has 3 exons.
AUAUUCUAUGGUUCCAUGAUUCUAUGAUCUCACCGUGCUCAGCAAUAAAAGCCUGGAGGAGGAGGAGGAAGUGGGGAUGUUUGGACUGAACAUGUUUGUUUUCCAAGUCACUGUAAUGCCUGACAGAGCCGUGCUCUCCCAGAGGUGGCUGAACACUUGCCUGCCCAUGGGAAGCAGUGAAUGAAUCCCUUGCUUUGCUUGCAGCCCACGAGUUUUCUCACUUUUACCCUCCAAUUCUCUCCCCCACCCACUGUGGGGGUGAGUGGCCCUGUGGCUACUGAGGCUAAACCAUGACAGGAGGUCAUCUAGACCAACCUUCUGCUUAGAGGAACUUCAUUAUCAACGCUAGAUCAGGCCUGUCUGCAUCACAGAAGGCCCAUGGAGCUGUCAGACACCUACAGCAUUAUUUUGAAAGCAUCACAGAGAGACUGUGCAAAAAGAGAUCUGCCCAGUCUCUCUCAGACAAAAUGUUACAUCAAGUCCUGGUAAAAAAGCUGAGGGAAGUGACAGACAUCUGCCAUGCACCUUGAAGAACCAAAGAGCAGAGUGGGGAAUUAACUGUCACUACAGGGAAAAGUCACAGUAAAAAGACACUGGGGAAAACACAGGAUGUCACACUUUCCAAUAAUUAAACACUUUCUGAAGAUGUUUGAAUGGCAA